UCCUUUUCUUAGAAAGUAAAAAUAUCUAAAAACAAAAUAAAGUUUAAAUCUACACACCUCAUAAAAAAUGCAAUUAUGUUUCAGUUAUCCCCUGGGGAUUGUACUGAAAAGAACAUGUUGAUUCUGCCGCCCUUGGCUCCAAAAGAAACAGAAUAAUGAGAAGUCUUGGCAUUUGUUGUAUAGAAAGACUUGGCAGAAGAAUUGGAACUAGAACUAUUAAAUGGAAAAGCAACGGAAAGGCACGCAGUGUCCAAAGAAGAGAGAAAGCUAUAAAAAAGCACCAAAGAAAAGCACACCAGAAACUUGGAAAAAAACCCUCAAAACCUGCCAAACUCACAAAAAGGUCAGCUAGAAGAUUUCCACACAGAAAUGCAGCUGAGAUACCAUUGCUGUUACUAAAUGCUAUAUAAGCUCACCUGCCUGGAACAGAAUAGUUGUGGUACAAGCAAUUUAGGGAAGCAGAGCUUCAAGGCAGUGGUGCCUUUUGCAGUGACUUAUCUAAAACACAACUGGGCAUGGCCCUACCCAACAUUUGGUUCCUCUCUGAUUCUUUAAAGAAAAAGAAAGAAAGAAAAGUGAUGUGGGAAAUACUGGUCCAGCCCUUGCAACAGAAGGGUGUGAGGAAGAUGUAAAUCACUGGAAGGCAACCGACACCAAGGAAUUGAAAGAAGAGUCUGUUUAGCUGUCAGCUUGAUGCAGCUGGCUGGCUGUGUGGUUAUAAUGGUAUCACAGUGUCUUGGGGAACUACUGAAUCACCCUGUAACAGAAGAUGGGGAAAUCUGGGGGCUGCAAAAGAAGGCGGUGAAGAUCACGACUGGAGAAAAGAUCCUGGAAGUUGCAGAAGACCCUGGAGAUCAGAUCAUUGCCUGGUGACAAGUGCUGGGGGAUGAGCAGACACUCUGGACCAGAGACCUCUCACAUCUGAGACUGGUACCUGUGGGCAGUGGCACAGCAUCAUCUGACUGAAAGCCUGUGCUUUCCUAGCCAGCAAAAACAUCUCCCUGUGCAGAGGGACACCGAGACCUGGGGAACAUGGUGCUGGUGGGGAGGCAGAGGAUGAAUGUGUGAGGAAAUAAGGCAGAGCAAAAGCUUAAAUCCCAGGGGUUCUUAAAUAAACCCCAAUAUCCAGAUCCACCAUGCAUUUUUGCUUGCUCCAUCUCACCUGUGCCAAUUUAAGACAUAACUUGUACAACUGCAUAAUUCAAUCCCUGCCCACCCGCAUUGCCAUGCCUGCAAAAUGCAGUAGAUGUAUCCACAACAGAAGACCAUGCUUCUUGUGCAGUGAUCAAUGACUCACCAGCAGUGUAGUCUUCUAAAUUUAGUUCUGUGCCCUACUGAGGAGUUACUCUGACAAUUUACCAUGGUGAUGCCACCCUUAUGAGCUUAUUAUCACUGUGUUUGUCUUCUCCCUCUUACUGCUGCUGGAAAAUAGGCAAAUACGCUACCAUUGCCACCUCUUUUUCUUUCAAAUUAUAACUCCUAAAUUGCACAGAAAGAAUGGAAGGAGAGAAACUGAACAAAGAUCACUUAAUCUUGUUAAACGUGGCAGGAAAUCACAUUUGUGUCAGAAUGGAGCAACAAAAAAAAAAGACACAUCCCAAUAUCAACUCCUGUAAUUCCACUGCUGAAUUAUUUUCAAACAUGGUAAAUCGAAUUUAAUGCCAAUAUGUCUGUAUGUGAAAGAUCAGUCUCACUGAGAAAACAAGAAAAUUGUACAGACUUAUGUGAGCUGUAUUUGAAGCGAGUCUUGUUUAUAAUGAAGUCAUCCUUGUUUGCUUGGAUAUUUAAAAAAAUUAAGAAAGGAACUGGAAACACAAGUUAUUAAUAAAUAUUUUCAUGUAAUUAGUCUGUGGAAGUACAAAUUUCUGUAGAAAUACUGGAAGCUCAUUUAAAUUCUCAAAGAGGCAUUUGAAGAAAAAUGAGCAAAACACCACU
This is a long non-coding RNA of Passer domesticus (house sparrow), 1935 nucleotides long. RefSeq lists it as uncharacterized. The transcript has 5 exons. NCBI's taxonomy places the organism in Eukaryota, Metazoa, Chordata, Aves, Passeriformes, Passeridae. The record is from RefSeq and is a predicted model, not a curated record.